GCCCUGUUAGCUCAAUGGCAGAGCGCUCGGCUUACAUCCGAGUGACGACUGUUCGAUUCGGUCACGGGGCACCA
RNAcentral lists this transfer RNA (74 nucleotides) under Acidobacteriota bacterium. RNAcentral describes it as "Acidobacteria bacterium tRNA-Val". It matches the Rfam family "tRNA". Rfam says of the family: Transfer RNA (tRNA) molecules are approximately 80 nucleotides in length. Their secondary structure includes four short double-helical elements and three loops (D, anti-codon, and T loops). Further hydrogen bonds mediate the characteristic L-shaped molecular structure. tRNAs have two regions of fundamental functional importance: the anti-codon, which is responsible for specific mRNA codon recognition, and the 3' end, to which the tRNAs corresponding amino acid is attached (by aminoacyl-tRNA synthetases). tRNAs cope with the degeneracy of the genetic code in two manners: having more than one tRNA (with a specific anti-codon) for a particular amino acid; and 'wobble' base-pairing, i.e. permitting non-standard base-pairing at the 3rd anti-codon position. RNAcentral also lists the same sequence under 1 other name. The record is from RNAcentral. Lineage: Bacteria; Pseudomonadati; Acidobacteriota.